UAUUAGGUGGGUGCAAAAGUUAUUGCGGUUUUUGCCAUUAAAAGUAAUGGCAAAAACCGCAAUAACUUUUGCACCCACCUAAUA
MicroRNA precursor from Gorilla gorilla gorilla (western lowland gorilla), 84 nucleotides. It matches the Rfam family "mir-548 microRNA precursor family". Lineage: Eukaryota; Metazoa; Chordata; Mammalia; Primates; Hominidae. The record is from Rfam.